UGGGGAAUAUUGCACAAUGGGCGCAAGCCUGAUGCAGCCAUGCCGCGUGUGUGAAGAAGGCCUUCGGGUUGUAAAGCACUUUCAGCGGGGAGGACGGCGUUAAGGUUAAUAACCUUGGCGAUUGACGUUACCCGCAGAAGAAGCACCGGCUAACUCCGUGCCAGCAGCCGCGGUAAUACGGAGGGUGCAAGCGUUAAUCGGAAUUACUGGGCGUAAAGCGCACGCAGGCGGUCUGUCAAGUCGGAUGUGAAAUCCCCGGGCUCAACCUGGGAACUGCAUUCGAAACUGGCAGGCUAGAGUCUUGUAGAGGGGGGUAGAAUUCCAGGUGGAGCGGUGAAAUGCGUAGAGAUCUGGAGGAAUACCGGUGGCGAAGGCGGCCCCCUGGACAAAGACUGACGCUCAGGUGCGAAAGCGUGGGGAGCAAACAGG
Molecule: ribosomal RNA, 429 nt
Filed under: Chloroflexota bacterium
Lineage: Bacteria; Bacillati; Chloroflexota
Description: Chloroflexi bacterium partial 16S ribosomal RNA
Rfam family: Bacterial small subunit ribosomal RNA
Source: RNAcentral